RNAcentral lists this ribosomal RNA (504 nucleotides) under uncultured Glomus. RNAcentral describes it as "SSU rRNA". It matches the Rfam family "Eukaryotic small subunit ribosomal RNA", at positions 567 to 1074 of the family's 1831-position model. The record is from RNAcentral. Lineage: Eukaryota; Fungi; Glomeromycota; Glomeromycetes; Glomerales; Glomeraceae.
AUUGAAGCUGCAGUAAUUCCAGCUCCAAUAGCGUAUAUUAAAGUUGUUGCAGUUAAAAAGCUCGUAGUUGAAUUUCGGGGUCAGUAGGUUGGUCGUGCCACUGGUAUGCACUGGUCUCACUGAUUCCUCCUUCCUGAUGAACCGUAAUACCAUUAAUUUGGUGUUGCGGGGAAUCUGGACUGUUACUUUGAAAAAUUAGAGUGUUUAAAGCAGGCUAACGCUUGAAUACAUUAGCAUGGAAUAAUGAAAUAGGACGAUCGAUCCUAUUUUGUUGGUUUCUAGGAUUGACGUAAUGAUUAAUAGGGAUAGUUGGGGGCAUCAGUAUUCAAUUGUCAGAGGUGAAAUUCUUGGAUUUAUUGAAGACUAACUACUGCGAAAGCAUUUGCCAAGGAUGUUUUCAUUAAUCAAGAACGAAAGUUAGGGGAUCGAAGACGAUCAGAUACCGUCGUAGUCUUAACCAUAAACUAUGCCGACUAGGAAUCGGAUGAUGUUAAUUUUUAAUGA